UACGUAGGGUGCAAGCGUUGUCCGGAAUUAUUGGGCGUAAAGAGCUCGUAGGCGGUUUGUCGCGUCUGCUGUGAAAACGCGAGGCUCAACCUCGCGCCUGCAGUGGGUACGGGCGGACUAGAGUGCGGUAGGGGAGAUUGGAAUUCCUGGUGUAGCGGUGGAAUGCGCAGAUAUCAGGAGGAACACCGAUGGCGAAGGCAGAUCUCUGGGCCGUAACUGACGCUGAGGAGCGAAAGCGUGGGGAGCGAACAGG
This 253-nucleotide ribosomal RNA is filed under the name uncultured bacterium. RNAcentral describes it as "partial 16S ribosomal RNA". It matches the Rfam family "Bacterial small subunit ribosomal RNA", at positions 524 to 776 of the family's 1533-position model. The record is from RNAcentral.